Molecule: ribosomal RNA, 377 nt
Filed under: uncultured bacterium
Lineage: Bacteria
Description: bacterial SSU rRNA
Rfam family: Bacterial small subunit ribosomal RNA
Source: RNAcentral
UACGAGAGGUGCAAGCGUUAUUCGGAAUUAUUGGGCGUAAAGGGUGCGUAGGCGGCAUGUUAAGUCAACUGUUAAAAGCCCUGGCCUAACUGGGGAAAUGCGGUAGAUACUGGCAUGCUAGAGGGUGGAAGAGAGAAGUGGAAUUCUUGGAGUAGCGGUAAAAUGCGUAGAUCUCAAGAGGAACACCGAUGGCGAAGGCAGCUUCUUGGUCCAUUUCUGACGCUAAUGCACGAAAGCGUGGGGAGCAAACAGGAUUAGAUACCCUGGUAGUCCACGCUGUAAACGAUGAUCACUAGACGUUAAUUCUGCUUUGCAGAAUUAGUGUCGCAGCUAACGCGAUAAGUGAUCCGCCUGGGAAGUACGGUCGCAAGAUUAAA